UACGAAGGGGGCUAGCGUUGUUCAGAAUUACUGGGCGUAAAGGGCUCGUAGGCGGCCAACUAAGUCGGAUGUGAAAUCCCCAGGCUUAACCUGGGAACUGCAUCCGAUACUGGAUGGCUUGAAUCCGGGAGAGGGAUGCAGAAUUCCAGGUGUAGCGGUGAAAUGCGUAGAUAUCUGGAGGAAUACCGGUGGCGAAGGCGGCAUCCUGGACCGGCAUUGACGCUGAGUGAGCGAAAGCUAGGGGAGCAAACGGG
Molecule: ribosomal RNA, 254 nt
Filed under: uncultured bacterium
Lineage: Bacteria
Description: partial 16S ribosomal RNA
Rfam family: Bacterial small subunit ribosomal RNA
Source: RNAcentral